This 388-nucleotide RNase P RNA is filed under the name Paracoccaceae bacterium. RNAcentral's name for it is "Rhodobacteraceae bacterium (sponge metagenome) RNase P RNA component class A". It matches the Rfam family "Bacterial RNase P class A". From Rfam's summary of the family: Ribonuclease P (RNase P) is a ubiquitous endoribonuclease, found in archaea, bacteria and eukarya as well as chloroplasts and mitochondria. Its best characterised activity is the generation of mature 5'-ends of tRNAs by cleaving the 5'-leader elements of precursor-tRNAs. Lineage: Bacteria; Pseudomonadati; Pseudomonadota; Alphaproteobacteria; Rhodobacterales; Paracoccaceae. The record is from RNAcentral.
UCGGAAGGCCGGAUGGCUGCUGCGGUGGCGUGCCACCGGAGAGGAAAGUCCGGACUCCAUGAAGCAACGGUGCCGGGUAAUGCCCGGGCGGGGUGACCCGACGGAAAGUGCCACAGAAAUCAAACCGCCCCAUUGGGGUAAGGGUGAAACGGUGGGGUAAGAGCCCACCGCGCGGCUGGCAACAGCGGCGGCACGGCAAACCCCACCGGGAGCAAUGCCAAAUAGGACCCCCGCGCGGGCCAGGGUUCCCUUAGGAACCGCCGCUAGGUCGCUUCAGCCAAGAGGGAUCGGGUUGGCAGCUUGAGGUGCCGGGCAACCGGUACCCUAGAUGAAUGGCCAUCCCCGGAGCAAUCCGGGACAGAAUCCGGCUUACAGGUCUUCCGGGCGC